Molecule: long non-coding RNA, 3661 nt
Filed under: Homo sapiens (human)
Lineage: Eukaryota; Metazoa; Chordata; Mammalia; Primates; Hominidae
Description: HSALNT0029679
Source: RNAcentral
AAAAAGAAUGAACUGAUGUGUGCUAGAAUUUACUUUGAAAUGCAUUAAAAAACAGAGACUGAUGAUGGAUAGAGGGAUGGAUAGAAAUGGAUAGAUAAUGAUAAAGCAAAUAUAGUAAAAUGUUAACGAUGGGAUCUAAGAGGUGUGUAUACAGAUGUUUACUACAAAAAGUUUCUCAACUUUUCUGUGUGUUUGAAAUAAUAAAAUCAUGAAAUAUUUAAAAUAUACCAUAAUGAAAACAUAAAAUCAAACACUUAGAAUCUCUCUCCUACUCCCUCAAAAGAAUUACUUUUCAGUACAGUUUUGUCACUUUCUAGUGACAAUGAGGAAGCUGCUAAAACUUCCGAACUGUGUUGCCACCUAGGCUAAAUUGUAAAACUGGACAAAAUCAACAGUUUCCAGAACUAGGGGUUAAUCAAAAGUCAACAUGGCAGAUUUGCAUCCAAGAUGGAGUUACUUUAGCCUUGACACCAUCAUUAUAAUCUGAACCAUUCUGUGCCUCAGUUUCCUCAUCUGUAAAAGAGACCAAUGAUAUAAAACUCUUAAAGCUACUGCAAGAUUAAAGGAAUUAUGUGGUUUAACCUGGCACAUAGACACUAUGUAAGUGUGAAUCAUUAUCCUUCAGUGAACAAACAACUUUUGAAUACCAAGUGUCUGGCACAACAGUGCUGGGAUACAAAGUUAACUAAAACAUGGUCUCCACAUUCAAGGAGAUUAGAGUCACUUCUUUAUUACUUAACUAGUUUCUUUCUGCUUUGAAUAACGCCUCUUGCCUCCUACAAUGACAUACAUUUUCUGUUCUUGUCAGGUUUUUAUAAUUUUUGAUGAUAAAAAAUAAGUAAUGUUAAAUUUUUUUUUUUUUGAGAUGGAGUCUUGCUCUAUCGCCCAGGCUGGAGUGCAGUGGUGCAAUCUUGGCUUACUAACCUCCGUCUCCCGGGUUCAUGCCAUUCUCCUGCCUCAGCCUCCCAAGUAGCCGGGACUACAGGCGCCCGCCACCACGCCUGGCUAAUUUUUUAUAUUUUUAGUAGAGAUGGGGUUUCACCAUGUUAGCCAGGAUGGUCUUGAUCUCCUGACCUUGUAAUCCGCCCGCCUCGGCCUCCCAGCGUUCUGGGAUUACAGGCGUGAGCCACCACACCCAGCCAGUAAUGUUUAAAUUUUACUACAAAUUUAUUGCGUGUCCUUCUGUUCAGGGUCAGAGUGGCCCUUAAUUUUGUGUAUUUAGUUUUUUUAAAUUUAAUUAAAAAAAUAGUGAUGGGGGUUCACACACACACACACACACACACACACACACACACACACACAACAGUUUUCAAAUGUCAUUUUAGGUGUUGGAAGCUUCAGAGUCAUUUUUGAGCCCCACCCUAGACCUAUAAAAUUACAGUUUCCUGGGAGGGGUAACAUAGGAAUUUUUAUUUUUACACAAGCACCUUAUGAAGUUUUCAUACUAGUCAGGUUUGGAAACGCCUGGACUAUAGUCUUUUUCCAUUCUGCAGUGAGUACUUGUUUUUACAAGAACACGUGCUCUUAAAUUUUUCAAGCACUAGGAUCUUGUAAAAAUAUAGAUUCUGGGAGUGGAAUCCUCAUAUUUUGCCUUUGACAGGUUCCCAGCUCUGAGGCUGAUGUUGCUGAUGCCCAGACCAUACUUUGAGAAGCAAAGAGCUGGAAGAUAGGAAGCAAAAGCAAGGGACCCCACCAUUCUUUCAUGGGCUUUGUUCUUCCUGCCUGGCCAAACCACAUUCAUAGAAAGUAAAGUAUGUUGAAUAUACACUUUCUUAAUUUCACAUGGAAGAAUUCUAAGAAAAAUUCUAUUGCCUUUUUGGUGUGAGCAGUCAUUAUUUAUGGAGAAAAGUUUCGACAUGGUGUAUAGUUGAAAGGCUUGGAUACAUGAUUGGCUUACUUUUUUUUUUUUUGAGAUGUAGUCUUGAUCUGUCACCCAGACUGAAGUGCAGUGGCAUGAUCUCUGCUCACUGCAACCUACCUCCACCUCCCAGGUUCAAGCGAUUCUCCUGCCUCAGCCUGUGAAGUAGCUGGAACUACAGGCACCUGCCACCAUGCCCAGCUAAUGUUUGUAUUUUUAGUAGAGAUGGGGUUUCACCAUGUUGGCCAGGCUUAUCUCGAACUCCCUACCUCAAGUGAUCCAUCUGCCUUGGUCUCCCAACGUGCUGGGAUUACAAGCAUGAGCCACUGUGCCCAGCUGAUUCACUUACCUUUGAUGCUUUCAGGCAAUCAGAAGAAAAAUCACCGGGCCACUUUGGAGUAAAAAUAGACACCUUAAUCAGAAUCAGAAGCUAUAGCUAUGAUAAGGGUAAACACAAGACUGCAGCCUGAGAUUAAAAGACAAAAUAAUGGACUAAACAAACAAAAAACAGUGGUAACUAACUGAAAGUUCAAUAAAAUGCUUGGAAAGUUCAUUUGCUUUCCUCCUUGCUUUCAUAUGCUACCUCAUUUACAUUUCUAAUCACAUUUUUGCAAACAUUUAUAGAGAAUUUUUUAUGACCCAGUCCCUGUGUUAUGUACUUACUUUACUUUAUUUUAUUUAUUUUUUUUUUUUGUAGAGACAGGGUCUUGCUUUGCUGCCCAGACUGGUCUCGAACUCCUGGCUACAAGUGAUCCUCCUGCCUCGGCCUCCCAAAGUGCUAGGAUGUCAGGCGUGAGUCACUACCCCUAGCCAGUUAUGUAUUUAUUAAGCACCUACUAUAUAGUAGACACUGGGAAUAGAGCAAAGGUGACAAGAAAAAUAAAACAAAGAAAUAAGCUCUCCUGAGGUUUACAAUCAAGUGAGCAGACAGUUGUUAAUCAAAUCAUCAGAAAAAUAAACAUGUGAUUGCAAAUGUGACAACUGUAUGAGGAAAAACUUAUAGUGCCGUGAAAAAGUUACAGGGACACUGCCUUAGAACAGAGUCACGCCAGGCUUUUCAACACAAGUGGAAGUCGAGCCAACAUCUAAAACUUGAAAAGAAAAUACCAGUUGAGGCCGGGUGCGGUGGCUCAGAGUUUGAGAAGACUAAAGGAGGAACAUUGUCUCAGACAUCCUUUACAAUAACCCUAAGGUACUUCCUGUUUUAUGCUUGAUGCCCCUGAAAUCCUAAGGGGUUAAGGAAUUUAAACAAGGGGUUAAAAGAACAAGGAAAAUCAGACAUUAGUAAGUGUCUGAUUUGAACUUUGAACUCCUAUCUGACUUCAUAGUGUGACUUGUAGCCACUACACUGAACUCCCCCUCAGAGGUGUAAUUUUAUUAAUUUGGUAUUAAUGUUCAGAGGGAACAUGGUGUAGUAAGAGGAAGGCUUAGGUCUAAGGACCCAGGUUCUAGUUCUGUCUUUUCUCGGUACCCCUCUAACAGCAGAGCAGUAGCUCUCAGUUGCAGAAUCCCUGAAGGCCUCUAAGGGAACUUCCUUGUCAUACAACAGAUCUACUGAGUUGGAGUUGUUACCAUAUGCGAAGGCAGGUCCAGCAUAAAUCGAUCUGAUUCUUUUAAGCAAAGCUGUCGGUUGGAUUUAUUAAAUGUAAAAUCUCCAAAUUUUUUAAAUGUUGGCAAGGAAUUCUCAACUGUUUAAAAAAUAAACUUUAUGCCAGGCACGGUGGCUCACGCCUAUAAUCCCAGCAAUUUGGGAGACCGAGGCGGGCGGAUCACGAGGUUAGGAGAUCAAGACCAUCCUGGUCA